AUGUUUCUUCAUCAAUACACCACAACAACAACUCCUCUUGCAACAAGAACAACAACGCAAAGAGCGCAUCAACACAAUCGAAGAAAUUCACACAGUAAGAUUAAUCAGGAAUUUACAAAACCAUCUGAAUCGGGAACGUAUAUACCCGAGCCUUGGCCGAUAUUCUCUGGUUCGCUCGUCAUUAUCUUUGGCUUGGAAAAUCGCUGA
Non-coding RNA from Vicia faba (fava bean), 207 nucleotides. NCBI's taxonomy places the organism in Eukaryota, Viridiplantae, Streptophyta, Magnoliopsida, Fabales, Fabaceae. The record is from the annotation of a GenBank genome assembly.